RNAcentral lists this ribosomal RNA (253 nucleotides) under uncultured bacterium. RNAcentral's name for it is "partial 16S ribosomal RNA". It matches the Rfam family "Bacterial small subunit ribosomal RNA", at positions 524 to 776 of the family's 1533-position model. The record is from RNAcentral.
UACGUAGGCAGCGAGCGUUGUUCGGAAUUACUGGGCGUAAAGCGUGCGUAGGCGGUGCCUCAAGUUUGGUGUGAAAUCUCCCGGCUCAACCGGGGGGGUGCGCCGAAAACUGAGGUGCUCGAGUGUGGGAGAGGUAAGCGGAAUUCCUGGUGUAGCGGUGAAAUGCGUAGAUAUCAGGAGGAACACCGGCGGUGUAGACGGCUUACUGGACCAUAACUGACGCUGAGGCACGAAAGUGUGGGGAGCAAACAGG